AUUGAACGCUGGUGGCAGGCCUAACACAUGCAAGUCGAGCGGAUGAAGGGAGCUUGCUCCUGGAUUCAGCGGCGGACGGGUGAGUAAUGCCUAGGAAUCUGCCUGGUAGUGGGGGAUAACGUCCGGAAACGGGCGCUAAUACCGCAUACGUCCUGAGGGAGAAAGUGGGGGAUCUUCGGACCUCACGCUAUCAGAUGAGCCUAGGUCGGAUUAGCUAGUUGGUGGGGUAAAGGCCUACCAAGGCGACGAUCCGUAACUGGUCUGAGAGGAUGAUCAGUCACACUGGAACUGAGACACGGCCCAGACUCCUACGGGAGGCAGCAGUGGGGAAUAUUGGACAAUGGGCGAAAGCCUGAUCCAGCCAUGCCGCGUGUGUGAAGAAGGUCUUCGGAUUGUAAAGCACUUUAAGUUGGGAGGAAGGGCAGUAAGUUAAUACCUUGCUGUUUUGACGUUACCAACAGAAUAAGCACCGGCUAACUUCGUG
RNAcentral lists this ribosomal RNA (484 nucleotides) under uncultured bacterium. RNAcentral's name for it is "partial 16S ribosomal RNA". It matches the Rfam family "Bacterial small subunit ribosomal RNA", at positions 30 to 507 of the family's 1533-position model. The record is from RNAcentral.